Molecule: transfer RNA, 69 nt
Filed under: Toxocara canis (dog roundworm)
Lineage: Eukaryota; Metazoa; Nematoda; Chromadorea; Rhabditida; Toxocaridae
Rfam family: tRNA
About the family: Transfer RNA (tRNA) molecules are approximately 80 nucleotides in length. Their secondary structure includes four short double-helical elements and three loops (D, anti-codon, and T loops). Further hydrogen bonds mediate the characteristic L-shaped molecular structure. tRNAs have two regions of fundamental functional importance: the anti-codon, which is responsible for specific mRNA codon recognition, and the 3' end, to which the tRNAs corresponding amino acid is attached (by aminoacyl-tRNA synthetases). tRNAs cope with the degeneracy of the genetic code in two manners: having more than one tRNA (with a specific anti-codon) for a particular amino acid; and 'wobble' base-pairing, i.e. permitting non-standard base-pairing at the 3rd anti-codon position.
Source: Rfam by way of RNAcentral
CGGGCAGUAGCUCAGUGGUACAGCUCCCGCUUCGUAUGCGAGAACUGGGUUCGAUCCCCGGCUGCUUAC